CACCCAAUAACCCGACCUCCUUUGUUUUUCUCAGCGCGCUACGCACGGUCUGGAGACCAGAGUCUGAAAUCAAGUUUCAGGAGGUGUAUGUGAGUCUCAGAAUCGGAUCCUCAGGUCCUCAAACACGCGUGCUUUUAACAUUCCGUGUUCUGGAAUCAGGGUUCCACGAGCGACUCUGUACCCUGGGACCAAGGACCUCAGCCGGGAGGUCAGGGCUGGGCUGCGACACAGCACUGCCUUCCCAGCCUGCGUGUCUGCGUGGUCACGACUAAAGGUCCUGUGCGGCCACACACUGAAGAGUGGCCCCGGCUGGUGCGGCUCAGUGGACUGAGCGCCGGCCUGUGGAUUCCCAGGGAGGGCACACGCCUGGGUUUUGGGCCCGGUCCCCAGCUGGGGGCGUGCGAGAGGCAACUGAUCAAUGUUUCUCUCACACACUGAUGUUUCUUUCUCCUUUCCUUCCCUUCCCUUCUCUCUAAAAUAAAAAGUUUUCAAAAAUUA
Molecule: long non-coding RNA, 498 nt
Organism: Pteronotus mesoamericanus
Lineage: Eukaryota; Metazoa; Chordata; Mammalia; Chiroptera; Mormoopidae
Exons: 3
Source: RefSeq, a predicted model, not a curated record